Molecule: long non-coding RNA, 350 nt
Filed under: Salmo salar (Atlantic salmon)
Lineage: Eukaryota; Metazoa; Chordata; Actinopteri; Salmoniformes; Salmonidae
Description: lncRNA (ENSSSAG00000084401.1, ENSSSAG00000092484.1)
Source: RNAcentral
GGGAACUUCAACCCAAUGUAAUGCGGAAUAUGUUCCAACUCGUCAACACGAUCGGCUGCAGGGGAAGUUACUUUCUGCAUUGUUCGGCUUAUAUAACAAUAUCGAAUUAAAUGAAUCUAAGAAACGCUUUUCCAGGCAGUUUGAAUGUAUAUUCUUAUUCUGUGCAGAAUCUGUGUAUGUUGACCUACAACACAAAUGAGCAUCAUGACUUCAACAAAGUAGGCAACUUGGAACGUACCCGAUCCUCCCAAGCGAUCAUACUCUUUCCCGGGGUCCCGCCACCAUUAUAAUCUAGCCUGAAGCAGAUGUGGGUGAACAAGCAAACAACUCGGACUAAAAGAUAAUGGUGG